This 468-nucleotide ribosomal RNA is filed under the name uncultured bacterium. Its description in RNAcentral is "partial 16S ribosomal RNA". It matches the Rfam family "Bacterial small subunit ribosomal RNA", at positions 28 to 507 of the family's 1533-position model. The record is from RNAcentral.
GACGAACGCUGGCGGCGUGCUUAACACAUGCAAGUCGAACGGAAAGGCGCGGCGCUUGUUGGGUGCUCGAGUGGCGAACGGGUGAGUAACACGUGAGUAACCUGUCCUUGACUGUGGGAUAACUUCAGGGAACUGGGGCGAAUACCGGAGAGGAGCUCCUGCUGCAUGGUGGUGGAUGGUGAAAGUCGGCUGUGCGGGAUGGUCUCGCGGCUUAUCAGCUUGUUGGUGGGGUAGUGGCGUACCAAGGCUUUGACGGGUAGCCCGCCUGAGAGGGUGACCGGCCACCUUGGGACUGAGAUACGGCCCAGACUCCUACGGGAGGCAGCAGUGGGGAAUCUUGCACAAUGGGCGGAAGCCUGAUGCAGAAACGCCGCGUGCGGGAUGACGGCCUUCGGGUUGUAAACCGCUUUCGCAUGUGACGAAGCGUGAGUGACGGUACUGGGUCAAGAAGCAACGGCUAACUACGUG